UGGGGAAUAUUGCACAAUGGGCGCAAGCCUGAUGCAGCAACGCCGCGUGAACGGUGAAGGUCUUCGGAUCGUAAAGUUCUGUUGCAGGGGAAGAUAAUGACGGUACCCUGUGAGGAAGCCCCGGCUAACUACGUGCCAGCAGCCGCGGUAAUACGUAGGGGGCUAGCGUUAUCCGGAUUUACUGGGCGUAAAGGGUGCGUAGGUGGUCCUUCAAGUCGGUGGUUAAAGGCUACGGCUCAACCGUAGUAAGCCGCCGAAACUGGAGGACUUGAGUGCAGGAGAGGAAAGUGGAAUUCCCAGUGUAGCGGUGAAAUGCGUAGAUAUUGGGAGGAACACCAGUAGCGAAGGCGGCUUUCUGGACUGCAACUGACACUGAGGCACGAAAGCGUGGGUAGCAAACAGG
Molecule: ribosomal RNA, 403 nt
Filed under: Verrucomicrobiota bacterium
Lineage: Bacteria; Pseudomonadati; Verrucomicrobiota
Description: Verrucomicrobia bacterium partial 16S ribosomal RNA
Rfam family: Bacterial small subunit ribosomal RNA
Source: RNAcentral